CGUGCUUAACACAUGCAAGUCGAACGAUGAACCUCACUUGUGGGGGGAUUAGUGGCGAACGGGUGAGUAACACGUGAGUAACCUGCCCUUGACUCUGGGAUAAGCCUGGGAAACCGGGUCUAAUACUGGAUACGACCUUCUGGCGCAUGCCAUGUUGGUGGAAAGCUUUUGUGGUUUUGGAUGGACUCGCGGCCUAUCAGCUUGUUGGUGGGGUAAUGGCCUACCAAGGCGACGACGGGUAGCCGGCCUGAGAGGGUGACCGGCCACACUGGGACUGAGACACGGCCCAGACUCCUACGGGAGGCAGCAGUGGGGAAUAUUGCACAAUGGGCGCAAGCCUGAUGCAGCGACGCCGCGUGAGGGAUGAAGGCCUUCGGGUUGUAAACCUCUUUCAGUAGGGAAGAAGCUGGCCUUUCGGGGUUGGUGACGGUACCUGCAGAAGAAGCGCCGGCUAACUACGUGCCAGCAGCCGCGGUAAUACGUAGGGCGCAAGCGUUAUCCGGAAUUAUUGGGCGUAAAGAGCUCGUAGGCGGUUUGUCGCGUCUGCCGUGAAAGUCCGGGGCUUAACUCCGGAUCUGCGGUGGGUACGGGCAGACUAGAGUGCAGUAGGGGAGACUGGAAUUCCUGGUGUAGCGGUGAAAUGCGCAGAUAUCAGGAGGAACACCGAUGGCGAAGGCAGGUCUCUGGGCUGUAACUGACGCUGAGGAGCGAAAGCAUGGGGAGCGAACAGGAUUAGAUACCCUGGUAGUCCAUGCCGUAAACGUUGGGCACUAGGUGUG
This 779-nucleotide ribosomal RNA is filed under the name Micrococcaceae bacterium. RNAcentral describes it as "bacterial SSU rRNA". It matches the Rfam family "Bacterial small subunit ribosomal RNA", at positions 43 to 824 of the family's 1533-position model. The record is from RNAcentral. Lineage: Bacteria; Bacillati; Actinomycetota; Actinomycetes; Micrococcales; Micrococcaceae.